Molecule: non-coding RNA, 85 nt
Organism: Gossypium hirsutum (cotton)
Lineage: Eukaryota; Viridiplantae; Streptophyta; Magnoliopsida; Malvales; Malvaceae
Source: Rfam
CAUCCCAAUGAUGAUGAUAUGGAUUGUUAAAAGUAGUGCCUGAUCUAUAUAUUAUCAUUUGAUGAUAAAUACAUACUGAGGGAUG